This 434-nucleotide long non-coding RNA is filed under the name Trifolium pratense (red clover). RNAcentral describes it as "long non-coding RNA (TPRA_LNC007590)". The record is from RNAcentral. Lineage: Eukaryota; Viridiplantae; Streptophyta; Magnoliopsida; Fabales; Fabaceae.
UAUUUUCGUCAUUCCUCUCACCUUGUAGCUCAUUUUUUAAUACUAUUUACAUGUAUGGAAAUCUAACGAAAUUACCCUUGUUGGCAUUUCAAUUUCGUCGUAUUUGGAGUUACGAUGUGUUCGGUAGACGAUGUUGAAUUUGAAGAUCACAAGUAGAUUUCUGCAGAAUUAGUAAUUGGACAGACCUUCACUAAAACGGUAAUUAAUCUCUCUCUGUAACUCCAAAUUUAGUGGGGUUUGAUUCUGUGGAAAGAUAACUCGAUUACGGUCAUUUCUGAAGCCAUUUGGUGAAUUAUGGAUCCAAAUUGAGUUGUAUGCGAAGCUUUGAAGUUGUGACUCGAAAGCAGAUUUUUUGCAGAAUUUUGGGAGACAUACCUUCACUAAAACGGUAAUUAAUCUCUCUUUGUAACUCCAAAUUCAGCGGGGUUUGAUUA